CGCAGGUUUCGGUUCCUCGACAAUUGGCAAGUAGCACAUGUAAUUCUGCCCAUCAUUAUUGGUCAUCGGCACCGAUUCCUGGCCAUUAUCCGGGUGGAAAGGGGAUUCGGGGGAGUGGAAUUCGAUCCUGUACUUGGGCUCUCUUGCGGAGCCGGAAGUGGAGGUGAAGAUCUCGUCGGCGGUGGCGGCGGGGAUGAGGAGAUAGACGGAAAAGAAGAGGAGGGAGAGGAACCAGCGGGG
Molecule: unclassified non-coding RNA, 240 nt
Filed under: Hevea brasiliensis (rubber tree)
Lineage: Eukaryota; Viridiplantae; Streptophyta; Magnoliopsida; Malpighiales; Euphorbiaceae
Source: RNAcentral